GAAGGUAUAGCUCAGUGGUAGAGCUUAACAUGCACAAGGUCCUGGGUUCAAUUCCCAGUACCUCCA
Molecule: transfer RNA, 66 nt
Filed under: Camelus bactrianus (Bactrian camel)
Lineage: Eukaryota; Metazoa; Chordata; Mammalia; Artiodactyla; Camelidae
Also listed under: 2 other names
Rfam family: tRNA
About the family: Transfer RNA (tRNA) molecules are approximately 80 nucleotides in length. Their secondary structure includes four short double-helical elements and three loops (D, anti-codon, and T loops). Further hydrogen bonds mediate the characteristic L-shaped molecular structure. tRNAs have two regions of fundamental functional importance: the anti-codon, which is responsible for specific mRNA codon recognition, and the 3' end, to which the tRNAs corresponding amino acid is attached (by aminoacyl-tRNA synthetases). tRNAs cope with the degeneracy of the genetic code in two manners: having more than one tRNA (with a specific anti-codon) for a particular amino acid; and 'wobble' base-pairing, i.e. permitting non-standard base-pairing at the 3rd anti-codon position.
Source: Rfam by way of RNAcentral